Molecule: long non-coding RNA, 1058 nt
Organism: Tympanuchus pallidicinctus (lesser prairie-chicken)
Lineage: Eukaryota; Metazoa; Chordata; Aves; Galliformes; Phasianidae
Exons: 3
Source: RefSeq, a predicted model, not a curated record
UAGAAGUCAGUAGUAGAAAGGAUGAAGGAAGUUUGUCUUUUAAACAACCAGUCUGAAAUAUGCAAGGCAUUUUCAUUUUUCUUCACCUGAGUUGUUUAUUUCUGAGUUUAUCCAUUUUUUCCAUGUUGGCAGAUUUAUAUAAAACAACAGUAAUAAUAUUUCUGGUGGUCUCAGAAACUAAGAUAGGAGAAACUAAGAAAAAACUCAGAAACUAAGGAGGAGAAGCAGUGCCUACACAAAAUUAAGGUUUUUGUGUAAAUUGUGAAAUAAUGUGUUAAUGAUUUUGGCAACAUAUAAGAGCAACAACAAAAAAAAGAUAAAAACUUCAGUUUUGGCCUCCUGUCACUCUUCCCAAACUUCAAACUUCUAUAGAAGUAAGAAUGCCCUGACAGAAGUAUGCCUCAAGCCAGGAUACAGUUUUGGGGAGAUGAGAAAACUGAAGGAAGUCCCUCUCCCAUAUUCGGCAUGGGACAAAGGAAUACAAAGAACACUUAGAAGGUACAAAAGGACAACAAAAAAAGAGGAGGACAGAAGCUUGGCUCUUCCUUCAUUAGAGUUAUCAGAACAAGUUCUGUGCCAGCAGAAGACUUUGACCUCAUCCUGUUAACGCUUUAUCCUGGUACUUCCAAACCUGAGACCACAGGGUCUCUUCCAUCUGUGCUUUUAUUCAGGGUUUGCAAGGAAGAUGUCUACUGCUUGAUCUGCAGUGGUGACCACAGGUGUCAUCCAUGACUGCCAAUGCCAACUGAAUGAAAGAACAGAUAAAUGUUAUCUCCCAGUAGUUGCAAGUUUGACUUGACUGUUGUGCAGUUGGGCCUGUCUUGGCCUGAGAGUGUCAGAUCUGCCUGGCCCAUGACUGGCUUUAAUACUCACACAGGGGUGACAGCUCCAGCCCUGGGCUGACCAAAGCUCUGGGAGGGGUCUGAAGAGGGCAGGAGCUGCAGCAGUCCUGGACAGCACCAGAACCAGUCCUUUGUGCAGCCGAGGCUGGGCUUGUUUCCGAUUCCAUGAGGCUUCAGCCAGAGAGCUGGAAAAUCUUUCACUGGUUUGGAUUGCCA